GUCUACUACAGCAAGGAAUGUGCCAGCGGCCAAUCUGAUGAACAUGUGACAGAAGAUUUGGCAAUGGGUGAAGAAAUACUGAGAUUGAAAUGCAACCACAGGUGGAGGCUUCAACCAAACUUUUCAGACAUACAUGAGAUACAAAGUUACACAAGUAUAAAUGGUUGAAGGUUUAGGAGGGCCAGACAAGAAGGCAGGAAAUGUGAUGUCACUUUUACUUCAAUGAACAUGGACAGCAGCAGGAGCAACAACAGCAUCAGCAGCCGAAACUACAACUACAGUAAGAGAUGCAACAACCACACCGACAACAUCAACAGCAGCAGGAGCUCCAACAACCAUGCAGGGAACAUCGGGCGCAACAUAAAUAACUUCAUCAAGAGAUGCAACAACCACAGUGGUAAACAUCAACAGCAGUAGCAACAACGACAGUAGAAACAAAGCCAACAGCAAGGAUUCUAACAAGCAAUCAUACAAGCAACAACACAAGCGACAACAUCAAUAAAUGCAUCAGGAGAUGCAACAGCCACACUCGUAAACAGCAGCAGGAGCAGCGAUGACAACAGCAACCACACAGGCAACACCUUGAGCAACAUCAGUAGCAAAAAUAACUAAUUGCACCAGGAGAUGCAACAACCACACCCACAACACCAAGAGCAGCAAAAAACAAACAGCAAUUCCAGCAAUCACGAUGACAACAGCAGCAGCAACACCAACAACACUAAUGAACAUUGAAAAAACUUGUACAAAAGUCAAUGAGGUCGC
Molecule: long non-coding RNA, 762 nt
Organism: Lytechinus pictus (painted urchin)
Lineage: Eukaryota; Metazoa; Echinodermata; Echinoidea; Temnopleuroida; Toxopneustidae
Exons: 3
Source: RefSeq, a predicted model, not a curated record